This 279-nucleotide ribosomal RNA is filed under the name uncultured bacterium. RNAcentral describes it as "partial 16S ribosomal RNA". It matches the Rfam family "Bacterial small subunit ribosomal RNA", at positions 506 to 784 of the family's 1533-position model. The record is from RNAcentral.
UGCCAGCCGCCGCGGUAAUACGGAGGGUGCAAGCGUUAAUCGGAAUUACUGGGCGUAAAGAGUACGUAGGCGGCUUUUCAAGUCGGGUGUGAAAUCCCUGAGCUUAACUCAGGAACUGCAUUCGAUACUGGAUCGCGAGAGUAUAUUAGAGGAUAGUGGAAUUUCAAGUGUAGCGGUGAAAGGCGUAGAUAUUUGAAGGAACACCAAUGGCGAAGGCAGCUAUAUGGAAUAAUAUUGACGCUGAGGUACGAAAGCGUGGGGAGCAAACAGGAUUAGAUA